This 157-nucleotide ribosomal RNA is filed under the name uncultured bacterium. RNAcentral describes it as "partial 16S ribosomal RNA". It matches the Rfam family "Bacterial small subunit ribosomal RNA", at positions 355 to 509 of the family's 1533-position model. The record is from RNAcentral.
UGAGGAAUAUUGGUCAAUGGGCGCGAGCCUGAACCAGCCAAGUCGCGUGAGGGAUGACGGCCCUAUGGGUUGUAAACUUCUUUUGUCGGGGAACAAAAGCCGAUUUGCGAAUUGGUCUGAGUGUACCCGAAGAAAAAGCAUCGGCUAACUCCGUGCC